GACGAACGCUGGCGGCGUGCUUAACACAUGCAAGUCGAGCGGUAAGGCCCUUUCGGGGGUACACGAGCGGCGAACGGGUGAGUAACACGUGGGUGACCUGCCCUCAGCUCUGGGAUAAGCCUGGGAGACCGGGUCUAAUACCGGAUAUGACUCCAUGACGCAUGUUGUGGGGUGGAAAGCCUUGUGCGGCUGAGGAUGGGCCCGCGGCCUAUCAGCUUGUUGGUGGGGUGAGGCCUACCAAGGCGACGACGGGUAGCCGGCCUGAGAGGGCGACCGGCCACACUGGGACUGAGACACGGCCCAGACUCCUACGGGAGGGCAGCAGUGGGGAAUCUUGCGCAAUGGGCGAAAGCCUGACGCAGCGACG
This 367-nucleotide ribosomal RNA is filed under the name uncultured bacterium. Its description in RNAcentral is "bacterial SSU rRNA". It matches the Rfam family "Bacterial small subunit ribosomal RNA", at positions 28 to 396 of the family's 1533-position model. The record is from RNAcentral.